CGCCUCAUUUUCCUUAAUCUUUAAUCAAAAUCCAUUUUUUUAUAAAACUUACGUAAAGUUAUGUACGUAUAGGAUUGCUGUUGCCUCUCGCCUCUCUUUUCUUUUGCGUUCCCCACUCGAGCUCUCACCUCGCCGCUCGUCGCCGUCCCCAAAUCCGCGACGGAGAUGGUCGAGUCCCUGUACACGCCCUCCCUGACCAUCGCUCCACCAUCCGCCGUCAAACUCCGCUGCCAACGAUGCAUUCCCAACGGCCGUUCCUCUGCCAGAUCCACACCCCAUCGACCGGAGCGGGGUGAGUGGCAACCGGAGGCCCACCGCCAACGUCGCCUUCCCAACUCCCUUGGCUCUUCCAAAUCGACCACCCCAUCCAUUGGAGCGGGGUGGAUGGGGAGCCGGAUGCCUGGGAGGCGCCAGGUCGCCCGUCGGAUGUCCUAUCAAAAAAGCAACAGAGGCGCCCAAUGUCUCCCACGUUCAUGUAUUUUUGUUUUCUUGCGAGGUCUUGUGAUUUGCUCAUGGAUGGAUUGUGUGCUUCGUUUUUGUUACAGUUAAUUGCAGGGGUAGCCUGACAAACGAAUGCCGACUGGUGUUCAUUCUCCCAAUUUCUAAUGCAGCCGACCAAACAUCUGUCCUAUACAUCAUCUCUCAUGCACAUAUACCCUACAGUUCACCGAACAUGCAUCAUCCUUGCAUCAGCUCAAGAAGGAACUCGCCGGUGAAGAUGGCGGCGCGGCCGACGGCAGCAGCGAGGUCGCUGGCCGGCCCAGAGCAUGACAUCUCUGGAAGAAAAUGAAAGAUUGUAUCAAGAAGAUGACGCCGAGAAGGAGGUGGAAACAACAAAGCUCACCCCACAGCUAACUGAACAUCUAAUGCAAACACGGCGAUAUAUGAUUGCACAUCAUUGUUUCGUUUCAUUGCUCACUGCUUGUGAGUUUUGUAUCUUCGAACUGCAGAAACAUGCAUUCCAAGAAUAGAAUGGGAAUUCCACUUACGAAGAAAGGAAGCAACUGCUGUCCCAAUGCCCACAUAUACGAAGUUGAGAACAACCUGGAGAUCAAAAGAGCACUCUGUUAACUGAUCAUACACUCUUCAAGUUAAGUGAUCUGAUCACCGUAAGCUGUGGAGACGUGGCACACCUUGGUGACAGCGGGGAGGACGGUGCUGGUGGUGCUCUCGCCGAAGGAGUUGAUAGCAUCUCCAAAGAAGACCAAUAUGAGGGACCCCGACGCGCCGUUGCCCACCGCCCCCAGUGAGCCAAUCACCAUGAGGAGGAUGUCAAGGCGGUCGGCAUACCUGAGCAUGCCGAACAACGGCACCUUCUUCUCCGGCGGCAGGUCAUCUUUUCGUUGCUCGCCGCCGUGGUGUGCUCCUUCUCCACGGCUAGCUUCUGCUGCCGCGUCCAUUUUUUUCUGGCAGCUACUGAUUGCGUUGCUGGUGUGCUUGACGAACCCAGCCCGCGCGGUGUCGUGUGUGAUUCUUGUUCCCCGGUUUGAGGGUGGAGGCAUUGUAUAUAGGCAUUUCGCCAGCCGCCCACACAGAGGGCUUUGACUCUUCUUGGGAAGGAACCGGGAAAGUUUGCGAUGGAAAAAUACUUUUGUGCGCAUGGAUUUAUCGUUGGCAUGUGGUGAUUUGUACAGCUGCGACAAUUCAAGAUUCACAGCCUA
Molecule: RNA transcript, 1661 nt
Organism: Hordeum vulgare subsp. vulgare (domesticated barley)
Lineage: Eukaryota; Viridiplantae; Streptophyta; Magnoliopsida; Poales; Poaceae
Exons: 5
Source: RefSeq, a predicted model, not a curated record